Molecule: ribosomal RNA, 460 nt
Filed under: uncultured bacterium
Lineage: Bacteria
Description: partial 16S ribosomal RNA
Rfam family: Bacterial small subunit ribosomal RNA
Source: RNAcentral
CCUACGGGGGGCAGCAGUGAGGAAUAUUGGUCAAUGGACGCAAGUCUGAACCAGCCAUGCCGCGUGCAGGAAGAAGGCUCUAUGAGUUGUAAACUGCUUUUGUACGAGGGUAAAUCCCGAUACGUGUAUCGGGUUGAAAGUAUCGUACGAAUAAGGAUCGGCUAACUACGUGCCAGCAGCCGCGGGAAGACGGAGGAUUCAAGCGUUAUCCGGAUUUAUUGGGUUUAAAGGGUGCGUAGGCGGUUCGAUAAGUUAGAGGUGAAAGCCCGGGGCUCAACUCCGGCACUGCCUCUGAUACUGGCGGGCUAGAGUUUAGUUGCGGUAGGCGGAAUGUAUGGUGUAGCGGUGAAAUGCAUAGAGAUCAUACAGAACACCGAUUGCGAAGGCAGCUUACCAAACUACGACUGACGUUGAGGCACGAAAGCGUGGGGAGCAAACAGGAUUAGAUACCCGAGUAGUC